CUGCCCCUUCUCGGGGUCAUGAUGGGCAGCAAGAUGGCGUCUGCCAGUAGGGUCGUUCAGGUAGUGAAACCACACACUCCAUUAAUAAGGUUUCCUGACAGAAGAGACAAUCGUAAACCCAAUGUAUCCGAAGCUUUGAGAUCAGCAGGGCUACCAUCUCACUCUUCUAUAAUUUCACAACAUUCUAAGGGAAGUAAAUCACCAGAUUUGCUGAUGUAUCAGGAUCCACCAGACACUGCAGAAAUAAUAAAAACAUUACCUCAGAAAUACAGAAGGAAACUUGUGUCUCAAGAAGAAAUUGAAUUUAUCCAACGUGGAGGUCCUGAAUAACCAUGGUGGCUGCUGUUUGUCAUCAGACAAUAGAAUUGUCUUUACAAUAAAGGACUUCCAAAAUGACAGAUGAGAAACUGUAUACUAAACACCUUUAAUAAAUACUAUGAAAAAAUGAAAUAUAGAAAAUUUAGAUGGACACUUGUAUUUCCUAAUUUAUGUAUCUUGGUCAGCUUCUCCACAAGCUUACCUAAUUAUUUAUACACUUUAUACUUAUUAAAGUAUACAUU
RNA transcript from Mandrillus leucophaeus (drill), 560 nucleotides. It is a transcript of the gene named 28S ribosomal protein S36, mitochondrial pseudogene, with no coding region annotated. The record is from RefSeq and is a predicted model, not a curated record. The transcript has a single exon. Lineage: Eukaryota; Metazoa; Chordata; Mammalia; Primates; Cercopithecidae.